UACGUAGGGUGCAAGCGUUGUCCGGAAUUAUUGGGCGUAAAGAGCUCGUAGGCGGUCUGUCGCGUCUGCUGUGAAAACCUGGGGCUUAACCCCGGGCCUGCAGUGGGUACGGGCAGACUAGAGUGCGGUAGGGGGAGACUGGAAUUCCUGGUGUAGCGGUGAAAUGCGCAGAUAUCAGGAGGAACACCGGUGGCGAAGGCGGGUCUCUGGGCCGUAACUGACGCUGAGGAGCGAAAGCAUGGGGAGCGAACAGG
RNAcentral lists this ribosomal RNA (254 nucleotides) under uncultured bacterium. Its description in RNAcentral is "partial 16S ribosomal RNA". It matches the Rfam family "Bacterial small subunit ribosomal RNA", at positions 524 to 776 of the family's 1533-position model. The record is from RNAcentral.